RNAcentral lists this ribosomal RNA (253 nucleotides) under uncultured bacterium. RNAcentral describes it as "partial 16S ribosomal RNA". It matches the Rfam family "Bacterial small subunit ribosomal RNA", at positions 524 to 776 of the family's 1533-position model. The record is from RNAcentral.
UACAGAGGUCCCAAGCGUUGUUCGGAUUUACUGGGCGUAAAGCGCACGUAGGCGGAUACUUAAGUCAGGGGUGAAAUCCCGAGGCUCAACCUCGGAACUGCCUUUGAUACUGGGUAUCUCGAGUCCGGAAGAGGUGAGUGGAAUUCCGAGUGUAGAGGUGAAAUUCGUAGAUAUUCGGAGGAACACCAGUGGCGAAGGCGGCUCACUGGUCCGGUACUGACGCUGAGGUGCGAAAGCGUGGGGAGCAAACAGG